This 719-nucleotide long non-coding RNA is filed under the name Triticum aestivum (bread wheat). RNAcentral's name for it is "long non-coding RNA (TAES_LNC002600)". The stretch from base 442 to 528 matches the Rfam family "MIR1120/MIR1122 microRNA precursor family". The record is from RNAcentral. Lineage: Eukaryota; Viridiplantae; Streptophyta; Magnoliopsida; Poales; Poaceae.
GAGCUCUGAAUAUGAACAACCAAAUGAAGCAUUACGAUUUCGCUCGAUGCGUAAAUAUCUCGGGAGUGAUAUUUUUUUCAAUGGUGAUAAAUUUUAUUCAAUCGGGCGGAUUGGAUCCAUGAAAGAUCAGUGACAUAUAAAUUACUAUCUAGGAAUUCAUAUCAAGGACGACUAUUACUAUCAAUAGAUGCACUAAGUUUCUUGGGAGAGCAACAACAUUGGGAAGAAAUUCCGUGUAUCUGUUUGCAAUAUGGAGUAAGACCUUUGCAGCUACGCUUGCACAAGUCCAGGUCGCAUCUCGCGAAAGGCAUGAAGCACCACCCUCCUUCUACAUGCUCACAAAAACAAUAUCGUUUAGAAGAAUACCCAGACAACACCAUAGCAAGCUAUGCUUCAGCAUCAACCAGAUGCAAUAAGAUCCAUAGAACGCCACAUUGUGAAAUACUCCCUCCAUCCCAUAAUAUAAGAACGCUUUUAACACUACACUUGUGUUAAAAGCGUUCUUAUAUUAUGGGACAGAGGGAGUACAAAGAAAAAUAGCAUCGCAUAGCAAACCAUGUUGACUUAUAGUUAAGUCAGAGAUGCAUGUACCUGGGCCAAAUGCAUCACAAGAUGAAAUGACAGUAGCCACGAGCACAAGAGCCAACAAGAACCGGGCACUUGUGUUCUUGAAUAUUUCCAUGAGGUCCUUUUUUUCCUUCUCUAUCUUAUGUUGUUCU